Molecule: long non-coding RNA, 301 nt
Filed under: Mytilus galloprovincialis (Mediterranean mussel)
Lineage: Eukaryota; Metazoa; Mollusca; Bivalvia; Mytilida; Mytilidae
Source: RNAcentral
UAUGAGGGGGAGGACAGGGGUAAGGGAGACAGGGAGAAAGGGGGUAGGAGAAAGGAGAAAGGGGGUGGGAGAAAGGAGAAAGGGGGUAGGAGAAAGGAGAGGAAGGCUGGGAGAAAGGAGAAAAAGUUGGAGAAAGGAAAAAAAAUAAAAUAUCUCUCCUUUUAAAAAAAUUUCUAAUAUUUCAAGAAAAAAUAUCUCAAAAGGAGAUAUUUUAUUCUAAUGGGAGAAAGGAGAACGGGGGUAGGAGAAAGGAGAAGAGGGGUGGGAGAAGGGAGAAGGGUACCCCCCUGUCCUCCCCCUC